Molecule: long non-coding RNA, 725 nt
Filed under: Macaca mulatta (Rhesus monkey)
Lineage: Eukaryota; Metazoa; Chordata; Mammalia; Primates; Cercopithecidae
Description: lncRNA (ENSMMUG00000051656.1)
Source: RNAcentral
GUAUGCUUGGUAUUUCCAGUAAUCAAAGGAGGAUGAAAACAGCAGUGAACGGAGGCACAGAAUAUUUGGCACAAUGUAGACAACUUCUGAGCACUGGGGAACAAGCCUUCUCCUAUCACUUGCCCUGAGGCGUGUAUCUUUUGCCCUGGUAAGUUUCAUAACAUUUUAAUCCUUUCCCUUCCUCAAUUGUGUGAUGGUGACCACAAUGCAACAGGAAAGUCCUCGUAAGAAAGACCCUUCAAUAUCUGGCUUGAUGUCACCAAGAUGUGCAAGAAAAAAAACAACACAAUGUCAAGUUGUCGUUCUGGAAAGGAGUGAGAGCUGUAGUGGGCAGCUGGAGAGCCGGCAGGUCAACCUCUUGUUGACACCAUCCUGCCAAGCCUUUUCUGGAGACAAAUGGAGUUUCCCAGCAUGUGUGGCUCCUACAGGUCCCUGGAGGCCAGCUGGGCAGAAAACUUGGGAGAAGCCGGAGAACCCACUGCUGGGCUGGCUGGCUGCAACAUUCACUGCAGAACCAACAUGAUGUUUUCUGCCUAAUUAGCAGUGAUAUAAAGAGUGACUGAGAGAAAUGUGGGGGUCUCAGUGUCUAAGAAGGGGUCUCCCACUUCAAUUGAAUGGACCCCACUUUCCUCCUUAAAUCUAUGUGCUCCUGUGUCCACUCCGGGUGUCCACUUUGCCUCUAAACAAUUAACUCCAAAAAACUAAGUCAUAAAAUCCAAUGCUUC